GAUGAACGCUAGCUACAGGCUUAACACAUGCAAGUCGAGGGGAAACGAUAGAGAAAGCUUGCUUUUCUAGGCGUCGACCGGCGCACGGGUGAGUAACGCGUAUCCAACCUGCCCACCACUUGGGGAUAACCUUGCGAAAGUAAGACUAAUACCCAAUGACGUCUCUAGAAGGCAUCUGAAAGGGGAUUAAAGAUUUAUCGGUGAUGGAUGGGGAUGCGUCUGAUUAGCUUGUUGGCGGGGUAACGGCCCACCAAGGCUACGAUCAGUAGGGGUUCUGAGAGGAAGGUCCCCCACAUUGGAACUGAGACACGGUCCAAACUCCUACGGGAGGCAGCAGUGAGGAAUAUUGGUCAAUGGGCGAGAGCCUGAACCAGCCAAGUAGCGUGCAGGAUGACGGCCCUAUGGGUUGUAAACUGCUUUUAUAAGGGAAUAAAGUGAGCCUCGUGAGGCUUUUUGCAUGUACCUUAUGAAUAAGGACCGGCUAAUUCCGUG
Molecule: ribosomal RNA, 492 nt
Filed under: uncultured bacterium
Lineage: Bacteria
Description: bacterial SSU rRNA
Rfam family: Bacterial small subunit ribosomal RNA
Source: RNAcentral